GACGAACGCUGGCGGCGUGCUUAACACAUGCAAGUCGAACGGAAAGGCCCUGCUUUUGUGGGGUGCUCGAGUGGCGAACGGGUGAGUAACACGUGAGUAACCUGCCCUUGACUUUGGGAUAACUUCAGGAAACUGGGGCUAAUACCGGAUAGGAGCUCCUGCUGCAUGGGGGGGGUUGGAAAGUUUCGGCGGUUGGGGAUGGACUCGCGGCUUAUCAGCUUGUUGGGGGGGUAGUGGCUUACCAAGGCUUUGACGGGUAGCCGGCCUGGGAGGGUGACCGGCCACAUUGGGACUGAGAUACGGCCCAGACUCCUACGGGCGGCAGCAGUGGGGAAUAUUGCACAAUGGGCGGAAGCCUGAUGCAGCAACGCCGCGUGCGGGAUGACGGCCUUCGGGUUGUAAACCGCUUUCGCCUGUGACGAAGCGUGAGUGACGGUAAUGGGUAAAGAAGCACCGGCUAACUACGUG
This 468-nucleotide ribosomal RNA is filed under the name uncultured bacterium. RNAcentral describes it as "partial 16S ribosomal RNA". It matches the Rfam family "Bacterial small subunit ribosomal RNA", at positions 28 to 507 of the family's 1533-position model. The record is from RNAcentral.